RNAcentral lists this ribosomal RNA (403 nucleotides) under Verrucomicrobiota bacterium. Its description in RNAcentral is "Verrucomicrobia bacterium partial 16S ribosomal RNA". It matches the Rfam family "Bacterial small subunit ribosomal RNA", at positions 355 to 776 of the family's 1533-position model. Lineage: Bacteria; Pseudomonadati; Verrucomicrobiota. The record is from RNAcentral.
UGGGGAAUAUUGCACAAUGGGCGCAAGCCUGAUGCAGCAACGCCGCGUGAACGAUGAAGGUCUUCGGAUCGUAAAGUUCUGUUGCAGGGGAAGAUAAUGACGGUACCCUGUGAGGAAGCCCCGGCUAAGUACGUGCCAGCAGCCGCGGUAAUACGUAGGGGGCUAGCGUUAUCCGGAUUUACUGGGCGUAAAGGGUGCGUAGGUGGUCUUUCAAGUCGGUGGUUAAAGGCUACGGCUCAACCGUAGUUAGCCUCCGAAACUGGAAGACUUGAGUGCAGGAGAGGAAAGUGGAAUUCCUAGUGUAGCGGUGAAAUGCGUAGAGAUUAGGAGGAACACCGGUGGCGAAAGCGGCUUUUUGGCCUGCAACUGACACUGAGGCGCGAAAGCGUGGGGAGCAAACAGG